Molecule: transfer RNA, 70 nt
Filed under: Paraechinus hypomelas (Brandt's hedgehog)
Lineage: Eukaryota; Metazoa; Chordata; Mammalia; Eulipotyphla; Erinaceidae
Description: tRNA-Trp
Source: RNAcentral
AGGAAUUUAGGUUAAAUAGACCAAGAGCCUUCAAAGCUCUAAGUAGAUACUGCCCCAAUUCUAAUUCCUG